CUUGGUCAUUUAGAGGAAGUAAAAGUCGUAACAAGGUUUCCGUAGUGAACCUGCGGAAGGAUCAUUAUUGAAUAAGCUUGGUUGGGUUGUUGCUGGCUCUCCGGAGCAUGUGCACGCCUGACAACCAACCUUUUUACCACCUGUGCACCUUUUGUAGACCUGGAUACCUUUCGAGGAAACUCGGUUUUGAGGAUUGCCGUGCGCAACCGGCUUUCCUUGCAUUUCCGGUCUAUGUUUUUAUAUACCCCUAUACAUGUUUUAGAAUGUCAUUAAUGGGCUUAACUGUCCUUAAAAUCUAUACAACUUUCAACAACGGAUCUCUUGGCUCUCGCAUCGAUGAAGAACGCAGCGAAAUGCGAUAAGUAAUGUGAAUUGCAGAAUUCAGUGAAUCAUCGAAUCUUUGAACGCACCUUGCGCUCCUUGGUAUUCCGAGGAGCAUGCCUGUUUGAGUGUCAUGAAAUUCUCAACCUUUUUCAGCAUUUAUGUUGAUAAAAGGCUUGGAUGUGGGAGUUUGCGGGCUUCUCAGAAGUCGGCUCUCCUUAAAUUCAUUAGCGGGACCUUUGUUGCCCAGCUUUAGUGUGAUAAUUAUCUACGCUAUCGUUGAAAGCAGCUUUUAAUGGGGUACAGCUUCUAAUCGUCUCAUUUUGAGACAGUUUUUGACAAUUUGACCUCAAAUCAGGUAGGACUACCCGCUGAACUUAAGCAUAUCAAUAAGCGGAGGA
RNAcentral lists this unclassified non-coding RNA (722 nucleotides) under uncultured fungus. RNAcentral describes it as "partial miscellaneous RNA". The stretch from base 302 to 455 matches the Rfam family "5.8S ribosomal RNA". The record is from RNAcentral. Lineage: Eukaryota; Fungi.